AGUCUUAAAAGAUGGAAUGGAAAAAUAAAUCUAUCAAAAAAUGUGGCCAUGUUAAAAAUAUAAAGAAUUAAAUAAUGCAAUGAUGAAAACAGCAUCCAUGGCAUAGAAGAAAGGCUUGAUCUAAUCACAGAGAAAGAUAUGGAAAUCAAAAACAAUUAGAGAUGAAAGUGAUUAUAGAUAAUUUUAUAGAUAUAGAAGUCAGACCCUGGGAUCAUGACCUGAGUUGAAGGCAGAUGCUUAACCCACUGAACCACUCCGGUGCGCCUUGUGUUGGUCAGUUAUUAACUACGUGGAGGAAGGAACAAAGAGGGACCUAACUCUGGAGCUAGGUGGCUCUGGUUUCAGAGGGUAAUUCUCUGGAAAAGAGGACCACUGUGGGCCAUUGGUGGCCAAUACUCACAGUAGCUGAAGGCUGUGUGCACCUGUUUGAUAAAGGACAUCUGGGCAGGGUCUCAACAGUGUCACCUGUCGGGUGUUGCUAGCUCUAUUUAUGGUAACUUUCCCUGUUUCUGACCAAUCCCUUAUUAUAUUUUACUGUGGUUUACAGAUGCCAGCUUUGGUGUCAAGGAGAUGCAUUUCACCACGAGAAAGAAAGUAAAAGGCCUCUGUGGAAAGAAGAGGGAGGGUGGAAAAGACUAGAUUUUUUGGAAGAAAGCAUGCCAAUGAGCUUUGUGGGAGUUGUCCUCGCAUCAAGUUCUUAUCCAUAUUGCCAGGUGUGAGGUCACAACAACCUCAGGUGGUCAGCCUGUUCAUCUGCCAGGUGUCACUAUAUGUCUUCCAGAGACCCUGCCCAGCUCAUCCAAUCCACCCCUCUCCCCACACACCCCACUGAUCCAACUCACCAGAGAUGCUGCCUCUCGAAUCACAGCUGGGAAACAUUUUAGCUUCAAAAACAGUAGAGGAGAAACAUGUGCACUUUGUGGGUGAUAGGGAAAUAAAAAGGCAACAUCAUCUUAGACUGGAAAGAACCAAUUUGAGAUUGCCUUUUAUCUGAGACGUACCAAUGUCUCUGUAACAGGUGCUAAGGAGCACUGUGAAUCUCUAAGAGGACUAGAAUGUGGCAUUUUGCAAAUUUAUUUUACAGUGGUACCAUACCAUGGGAUUAAGAUCCUACAAAAAUGUUCUUUAGCAAAUGCUGAUGUUUUCAAUGAGACCGAGUGGUUUUUCAAGUAGUAUAGGUGAUGAGUUUUUUGUUUUUUUUUUUCUUUUGCAAAAUAAUUUUUAAAGAAAUAUGGAGAUGGAUCAGAGAGAGAAUAAAAUGUCAGGGAGGCAAAUUAGGGACUAAUUUGUCCUAAAAUGUUAAAAGCCUGAACUAAUUAAUGAUCAUUAAUGCAACCUUUCAGCCAAGUGCAGGAUCCUACAUUCCUUACAGGAGAGCCACAAUGUUCC
This 1389-nucleotide long non-coding RNA is filed under the name Canis lupus familiaris (dog). RNAcentral describes it as "lncRNA (ENSCAFG00000050320.1)". Lineage: Eukaryota; Metazoa; Chordata; Mammalia; Carnivora; Canidae. The record is from RNAcentral.